This is a non-coding RNA of Salmo salar (Atlantic salmon), 1662 nucleotides long. Lineage: Eukaryota; Metazoa; Chordata; Actinopteri; Salmoniformes; Salmonidae. The record is from RefSeq and is a predicted model, not a curated record.
UUUUCUUUAAAAAACAAGGACAUUUCUAAGUGACCCCAAAGUUUUUAACGGUAGUGUACAUGAUAGGAUUAUUAUGGACAUUUUUAUUUAUCAAACGGCAUGAUCAUGUCACCAGCAUUUAAAGUUGACUGCUCUGCUGUUGUACUGUAUGUUGUGGGGUAACACAAUCUCUCAGGUCAAAUUGUGGUUACCCAGGUUACACCUCUUCACUCCAAUCCACCUCUCCACUCCACUAACUACUUCACUCCUCACACAGUGAUGAUAAGGCUGGCUCCCCUCCUGUUGUAGAGGGCUGAAAUAUUGCAGAUACAGGCUUAAGAUUGGUCUUUAUCGGCAACAGAUAGACGAGCCAUGGGCUAUUUUUGAUAAUAUCACAUAACAUUUGAGAAGAAAAGCAGUUUGUUCUAAUAAAUAAAUUGCUUUAUAUUUUAUAAUUGUACACAUUUGUCUCCAUUGGUAGACUGUUUCUUUCACCUUGCAUACCAACUUAUGAUUUUCACAGGGGCGCAACAUUCACUGGGGACCAGGGGAGGACAUGACCCACCCACAUUAUGAAAUUGCAUUUUAGUCCCCCACCGUGAUAGAAAACGAGGCAACGCUGUGCUUUAGGACAAUGCGGACGCCUCCGAGCGUCGGGUAGGCUGUUUGGAGUGUUUAUCCGACUCGAUUAAAAAAUCUAUAUAAAGUUAUGUACCCCUCACUUCUAAAACCAACGUUGUGCCCCUGGAUUUUGAAAUAUUAUGCACAAGCUCAUCUAAUUUGAUGAAUACAUCCUCCUGAACCUAAUGGAACGAAUCAAACAAUGCGAUAGAAAAUAAUGUAACUUGGUCUCCCCCAGUCUGUGGAUCUACUCCUCAGUUCCUUUCAAAGCCAGAAGAUAAGCAUCUCCUGGUGGGAGAAGAUCCCUUCCUGAAGUGUGUCAUUGUAGCUUGUGGAGAAAGCAGGAUUCAAAGCCAAAGUGAUACUCAUGUCAUCGUAAAGAAGAGUGCUAUUGUGUCAGACGCUGGGAAGUAUGUGUGAGAUGCCAGAUAGGAAGAGGGGAAGUCUGCUGUACUGCAGACGAGUUGGUCACUGAGCCAAGCCAAAGUGUUUCAAAGCCCAGGCAGUCGUCAUGAUCAACACACUGAAGAUCCAGAUGGGAAAACUGUACAUGCAUCCUCAACAAGUAAACAACAUAAAAAGUCAAGAGGGACAGGAGGGAAAUAGGGAGUCUGGGGACUUGAAUAAAGUUAUGUAUACAUUUUGUGGCAAUUUGCCUAUUGCAUGUAGUCCCUUUGUUUGCAAUUAAAGCCUUUUUGUGAAUACUGUUCUGAUGUAUUGUCCAAUACCUGAAUGAAUUAUUGAAGAUUAUCUUUUGGAGUACUGUCAAUUUCAUUUUUUACAUUUUGAAAAAAAUUCUGUGAGUGAGCAUUUUGAUAAUAUAUGAGAUACAGACAAAAAUGUUGAUCGCCAUGUUGCAGGAGACCUUUCCUGCAAUGCAGGACAUGUAAAACUUGUGGUGUAUUUGAGGUUUAAAAAGGCUUCUGAAGUUUGUAAUUUCCACAAAUUUCAGAGUUGAUUUUCCCUUAUGAACAAAAUGUAUCAACCCUCACAAAAAUGUUAAUUGAAUUAUAUUUCACAUUUCCUGUUAUAGCAAACUGACUCAAAUUAAGAUCAUACAUC